RNAcentral lists this ribosomal RNA (492 nucleotides) under uncultured bacterium. RNAcentral describes it as "partial 16S ribosomal RNA". It matches the Rfam family "Bacterial small subunit ribosomal RNA", at positions 29 to 507 of the family's 1533-position model. The record is from RNAcentral.
AUUGAACGCUGGCGGCAUGCUUUACACAUGCAAGUCGAACGGUAACAGGCCUUCGGGUGCUGACGAGUGGCGAACGGGGGAGUAAUGCAUCGGAACGUACCCAGAGGUGGGGGAUAACGCAGCGAAAGCUGUGCUAAUACCGCAUGUGAUCUGAGGAUGAAAGCGGGGGACCGAGCAGCAAUGUUUGGCCUCGCGCCUUUGGAGCGGCCGAUGUCGGAUUAGCUAGUUGGUGGGGUAAAGGCCUACCAAGGCGACGAUCCGUAGCUGGUCUGAGAGGACGACCGGCCACACUGGAACUGAGACACGGCCCAGACUCCUACGGGAGGCAGCAGUGGGGAAUUUUGGACAAUGGGCGCAAGCCUGAUCCAGCAAUGCCGCGUGCGGGAAGAAGGCCUUCGGGUUGUAAACCGCUUUUGGCAGGAACGAAACGGUGUCCGCUAAUACCGGGCGCUAAUGACGGUACCUGCAGAAUAAGCACCGGCUAACUACGUG